GUAAUCUUAUUAGAAGGGCAAUUCUCAACCUAAAAGGGGAACCAUGUGGUAAUGGAGAUGGUUUGGAGAAGCACCACAUUGUAAUGUACUGUGCUAAGGAACCUUAUUGAGGAACUUGUUUGUUCUAAAGCUCAAUAAGGUUUUUUUUAUUUCUUCAUUCUGGUCUGGAAGAUUAUCUUUGUCUCUAUUCAAUUGUUGUAAAUGUUUGUGUCUUGCAUCAACAACUUGCUGGUUGGAUGGACUGUGGGAAACAAGCCCAGUAUUCACAAACUAACUGGAAAGGAUUUCAUCUUGUAUUGGACCCAACAAGGACUUCUAUAGACUCUUGAUGGAAUUAAUUAUAUCUACAAAGGCCCGGUGAGAUCUAUCUAAUUAUUAAAUUAUGGACUGAAAGACUCAAUGAACUCUUCCAAGACUUAUAUUCAAUGAAUGGACUUUAUAGUGGCAUUUGAGAUUAUGAUUUGUGUUUUUCAUAGGUUCUGAUUUUGAUGUUUAGUAAAAUGAGUUAAAGCACUGUUGGUGGAUGGUACCCUGAUUUAAAAAUAUGAUAACGAGUUUAUAAAAAGAAAAAAUCGUUACAAGUGGUGGGGCUUGAACCGGCAACAUUUUGGUUACUAGUCCAGUACCUUAACCACCAGGCUACAACUGCCCUGACUUUGACUGGCCUGCAAUUAUGCAGCCCCAUACACAGGAGGGUUCGAUGCACUGUGUGCUGUAAAACAUUCACCUCAUCCUCAGUCUGUUGGUCAGUAUAUGACACCAUAGCCUUCAUGUCCUCUGGCAUCAAUAAGACUUUGUACCCAACAACAGAUAUUUAUCACAUGGCCUGAUGAAGUCUCUCCUAUUGUGAAGAAUGACAGAUGCAUUUUAUAACUGCAUGAACAUUUAUUUAGGCCAGUGGGAUCAGAUCAGAGUAAACAUGACUACAUCUUGCAAAAAUUAAGAGAAGUUGCCAGACCUCUCCAAGAAGCAAAAAAGUGGACCCUUCUGAUUGAGAUGGAGGACCUCACUGUCCUUGCCAACUUUCCACAUAUGAUACACAGAAAGUAAACAUUAUGGUAUUCAGUACUGAAGAGGAGGUUUUGGGCAGGAAACCUGAUACUCAGAAUACCAUGGCAGUAUCAUCUUAUUUUUCACAGACCUUGUUUUUCAAAAAUCACCAGUGCCACAUUUUACAGCAGUCAUUAAAUAACAUACAUAACAUUCAUACAAAAUUCUCAUCCCUGUUUUGAUCCCCCUUUCCCUCGCCACGUCCACAGAAUUGGUUGGAAGUUUUCCAAACUUACCCGAGUCAUAUUUUUAGCUGCUUUACACCUCAGCAUCUUCAACAUUUUGUCUAACCGACUGCUAAUGUACAGAAGAAAUAAAUGGUACAUAGACAAACUAUCAGAA
Long non-coding RNA from Trichomycterus rosablanca, 1392 nucleotides. RefSeq lists it as uncharacterized. The transcript has 2 exons. The record is from RefSeq and is a predicted model, not a curated record. NCBI's taxonomy places the organism in Eukaryota, Metazoa, Chordata, Actinopteri, Siluriformes, Trichomycteridae.